Molecule: ribosomal RNA, 555 nt
Filed under: Staphylococcus haemolyticus
Lineage: Bacteria; Bacillati; Bacillota; Bacilli; Caryophanales; Staphylococcaceae
Description: bacterial LSU rRNA
Rfam family: Bacterial large subunit ribosomal RNA
Source: RNAcentral
AUGUGGAGCCGUAGCGAAAGCGAGUCUGAAUAGGGCGUUGAGUAUUUGGUCGUAGACCCGAAACCAGGUGAUCUACCCAUGGUCAGGUUGAAGUUCAGGUAACACUGAAUGGAGGACCGAACCGACUUACGUUGAAAAGUGAGCGGAUGAACUGUGGGUAGCGGAGAAAUUCCAAUCGAACUUGGAGAUAGCUGGUUCUCUCCGAAAUAGCUUUAGGGCUAGCCUCAAGUGAUGAUUAUUGGAGGUAGAGCACUGUUUGGACGAGGGGCCCCUCUCGGGUUACCGAAUUCAGACAAACUCCGAAUGCCAAUUAAUUUAACUUGGGAGUCAGAACAUGGGUGAUAAGGUCCGUGUUCGAAAGGGAAACAGCCCAGACCACCAGCUAAGGUCCCAAAAUAUAUGUUAAGUGGAAAAGGAUGUGGCGUUGCCCAGACAACUAGGAUGUUGGCUUAGAAGCAGCCAUCAUUUAAAGAGUGCGUAAUAGCUCACUAGUCGAGUGACACUGCGCCGAAAAUGUACCGGGGCUAAACAUAUUACCGAAGCUGUGGAUUGUCC